This 253-nucleotide ribosomal RNA is filed under the name uncultured bacterium. RNAcentral describes it as "partial 16S ribosomal RNA". It matches the Rfam family "Bacterial small subunit ribosomal RNA", at positions 524 to 776 of the family's 1533-position model. The record is from RNAcentral.
UACGAAGGGGGCUAGCGUUGCUCGGAAUCACUGGGCGUAAAGCGCACGUAGGCGGACUCUUAAGUCGGUGGUGAAAUCCUGGAGCUCAACUCCAGAACUGCCUUCGAUACUGGGAGUCCCGAGUCCGGGAGAGGUGAGUGGAACUGCGAGUGUAGAGGUGAAAUUCGUAGAUAUUCGCAAGAACACCAGUGGCGAAGGCGGCUUACUGGUCCGGUUCUGACGCUGAGGCGCGAAAGCGUGGGGAGCAAACAGG